CCCUUAGAUGUUCUGGGCCGCACGCGCGCUACACUGAUGCAUUCAACGAGUUUCUUCCUGGUCCGAGAGGAAUGGGUAACCUUUUAAAAGUGCAUCGUGAUAGGGAUAGACUAUUGCAAUUAUUGGUCUUCAACGAGGAAUUCCUAGUAGACGUAGUUCAUCAGACUGCAUCGAUUACGUCCCUGCCCUUUGUACACACCGCCCGUCGCUCCUACCGAUUGAAUGCUCAGGUGAGCCAUUCGGACUUUCAUCAUGCUGGUUUCCAGUUUUGAUGAAGGAAAGUCUUGCGAACCUUAUCAUUUAGAGGAAGGAGAAGUCGUAACA
This 324-nucleotide ribosomal RNA is filed under the name uncultured eukaryote. Its description in RNAcentral is "partial 18S ribosomal RNA". It matches the Rfam family "Eukaryotic small subunit ribosomal RNA", at positions 1470 to 1796 of the family's 1831-position model. The record is from RNAcentral.